CCUACGGGAGGCAGCAGUGAGGAAUAUUGGGCAAUGGAGGCAACUCUGACCCAGCCAUGCCGCGUGAGUGAAGAAGGUGUUCGGAUGGGAAAGCUCUUUCGGAGGGGACGAGGAUGACGGUAGCAGAGAAAGAAGCCCCGGCUAACUUCGGGCCAGCAGCCGCGGUAAUACGAAGGGGGCAAGCGUUGUUCGGAAUGACUGGGCGGAAAGGGAGGGUAGGCGGUUUAGUAAGAUAGUGGUGACAUCCCCGGGCUUAACUUUGGAAUUGCCAUUCUAACUAUUAGACUAGAAUUACCGAGCGGUUAGUGGCAUGCCCAGUGUAGCGGUGCAAUUCUUCGAUAUUGUGUAGAACCCCAGUGGCGAAGGCGCCUUUCUGGCUGUCCAUUGCCGCUGAGGCUCGACCGCCUGGGUAUCACACAGGAUUAGAUACCCCAGUAGUC
RNAcentral lists this ribosomal RNA (440 nucleotides) under uncultured bacterium. RNAcentral describes it as "partial 16S ribosomal RNA". It matches the Rfam family "Bacterial small subunit ribosomal RNA", at positions 338 to 795 of the family's 1533-position model. The record is from RNAcentral.